GGGCGAAAGCCUGAUCCAGCGACGCCGCGUGGACGAUGAAGGCCUUCGGGUCGUAAACUCCUUUUGAUAAGCCCUUCACGGCUUAUAGAAUAAGCCUCUACUAACUACGUGGCCCAUUAAAUUGGGUUUGGCGCGUAGUAUAAAUUUCACUAUAUGCUGGAAACUUUUGUUAAUGUUAGAUUACUCUAAAAGUAAAAAUAUCUAGCAAAACCCAAAAAAACCUUGAGACUGGUAUAAGGGUUACAAAACAAUCAGCAGGAAACCUCAAUCUUGAGGGCUCCUCAGAGACUAUACGUGGAACCCGCCGAUGAGGCGAGGAAGAUAUAGUCCAUGUUCGGUAAGUUAAGUUUUUUAUUUAACGGGCCGGGCCAGCCCCGGUUAGAACUUUGGCGAAAAAGCUAAAGUUACAUCGGGUGCUGAACAAACCUUAUAGAAUUUGUGAGUUUUAGUAACACAGUUCUAACGGGGCCAGAAGUCUCGGUAAUACGUAGGAGGCGAGCGUUAUCCGGAAUCACUGGGCGUAAAGUGUGCGUAGGCUCAUUGAAAAGUCGUACCUUAAAGACUAAGGCUUAACCUUGGAAGUGGGUACGAUACUUUUAAUGUUGAGGAUUGUCAGGGAUGCUGGAACAGUUAAUGUAGCAGUGAAAUGCGUUGAUAUUAACUGGAACACCAAAGGCGAAGGCAAGCAUCUGGGAUUUUCCUGACGCUGAGGCACGAAAGCUAGGGGAGCGAAACAGAUUAGAUACCUGUGUAGUCCUAGCCGUAAACGAUGUCUGCUAGCUCUUUCCGACUUGUCGGAUGGGGUGUAAGCUAACGCGUUAAGCAGACCGCCUGGGGAGUACGGCCGCAAGGCUAAAACUCAAAGGAAUUGACGGGGACCCGCACAACCGGUGGAGCGUGUGGUUCAAUUCGAGACAAAACGAAAAACCUCACCAGGGUUUGACAUGCAAUCGUACAUUCUUUUGGAAACAAGAGGAAAUCCGUAAGGAUGAUUGCACAGGUGCUGCAUGGCUGUCGUCAGCUCGUGCCGUGAGGUGUUCCCUUAAGUGGGGAAACGAGCGCAACCCGCGUCCAAUGUUGAAUAUUCAUUGGAGACGGUCCCUAAUUUUUAGGGAAGGAAGGAGCGGAAGACGUCAAGUCAGCACGGCCCUUAUACCCUGGGCUACACACACACUACAAUGGCGAAAAACAACGGGCUGCAAGAUGGCAACAUCAAGCUAAUCCCUUAAAUUUCGCCUCAGUUCAGAUUGGGGUCUGCAACCUGACCCCAUGAAGUCGGAAUCGGUAGUAAUCGCAGAUCAGCAUGCUGCGGUGAAUACGUUCUCGGGUCUUGUACACACCGCCCGUCAAGGCAGCAAAGUCGGUAAUUAUCGAACAUCGUCUUUUGGCGUUGGAGAUAAAGAUCGGCGAUGAGGCUUAAGUCGUAUAAAUGUUGCGA
This 1438-nucleotide ribosomal RNA is filed under the name subsurface metagenome. RNAcentral describes it as "bacterial SSU rRNA". It matches the Rfam family "Bacterial small subunit ribosomal RNA", at positions 373 to 1502 of the family's 1533-position model. The record is from RNAcentral.